UGGGCGUAAGGGCUCGCAGGCGGUUUCUUAAGUCUGAUGUGAAAGCCCCCGGCUCAACCGGGGAGGGUCAUUGGAAACUGGGGAACUUGAGUGCAGAAGAGGAGAGUGGAAUUCCACGUGUAGCGGUGAAAUGCGUAGAGAUGUGGAGGAACACCAGUGGCGAAGGCGACUCUCUGGUCUGUAACUGACGCUGAGGAGCGAAAGCGUGGGGAGCGAACAGGAUUAGAUACCCUGGUAGUCCACGCCGUAAACGAUGAGUGCUAAGUGUUAGGGGGUUUCCGCCCCUUAGUGCUGCAGCUAACGCAUUAAGCACUCCGCCUGGGGAGUACGGUCGCAAGACUGAAACUCAAAGGAAUUGACGGGGGCCCGCACAAGCGGUGGAGCAUGUGGUUUAAUUCGAAGCAACGCGAAGAACCUUACCAGGUCUUGACAUCCUCUGACAAUCCUAGAGAUAGGACGUCCCCUUCGGGGGCAGAGUGACAGGUGGUGCAUGGUUGUCGUCAGCUCGUGUCGUGAGAUGUUGGGUUAAGUCCCGCAACGAGCGCAACCCUUGAUCUUAGUUGCCAGCAUUCAGUUGGGCACUCUAAGGUGACUGCCGGUGACAAACCGGAGGAAGGUGGGGAUGACGUCCAAUCAUCAUGCCCCUUAUGACCUGGGCUACACACGUGCUA
This 671-nucleotide ribosomal RNA is filed under the name Bacillus subtilis. RNAcentral describes it as "bacterial SSU rRNA". It matches the Rfam family "Bacterial small subunit ribosomal RNA", at positions 555 to 1227 of the family's 1533-position model. Lineage: Bacteria; Bacillati; Bacillota; Bacilli; Caryophanales; Bacillaceae. The record is from RNAcentral.